GACUUGCGAGGAUGAACACGGUUUUUAACCCUCCUAUACUUUGUUGUUCUUUUCUGCAGGGAUGAAAUGUAUUUUCCAUUAAGGGAACCUAUUUGUGUGCAUCGUGGCUCUACCCUAGAAGUACAUUUCUGGCGCUGUUGUGAUUCUACAAAGUCUGCAAACAAGUAGUCAUAGCAUCCUCAGUCCUCACAGCUGACAAUAAAUUGAUUUUUGGAACUAGUAUCGGUAUCAAUUCAAUUUGGGAAAUCAUGUAUCUGCUUUUCAGAACUAGCAUAGCAUCUGAGUUAGUUCUCUUAUUGUCAGUACAUUUUAUAAAAUCAUGCCGCAUUAUAAGAUUGUCGAGAUGAUCAUUCUAUGUACGCUGUGUAAAGUUGUAAAUAAAUAUGGAUUUUUCUAGGAAAGUUUGGUGAGUUUUCUUUUA
Trifolium pratense (red clover) is the source of this 421-nucleotide long non-coding RNA. RefSeq lists it as uncharacterized. NCBI's taxonomy places the organism in Eukaryota, Viridiplantae, Streptophyta, Magnoliopsida, Fabales, Fabaceae. The transcript is spliced from 2 exons. The record is from RefSeq and is a predicted model, not a curated record.